UACGGAGGGAGCUAGCGUUGUUCGGAUAUACUGGGCGUAAAGCGCACGUAGGCGGCGCAGCAAGUCAGGGGUGAAAUCCCGGAGCUCAACUCCGGAACUGCCCUUGAAACUGCAGUGCUAGAAUUCUGGAGAGGCGAGUGGAAUUCCGAGUGUAGAGGUGAAAUUCGUAGAUAUUCGGAAGAACACCAGUGGCGAAGGACGCACUC
RNAcentral lists this ribosomal RNA (206 nucleotides) under uncultured bacterium. RNAcentral describes it as "partial 16S ribosomal RNA". It matches the Rfam family "Bacterial small subunit ribosomal RNA", at positions 524 to 729 of the family's 1533-position model. The record is from RNAcentral.